UUCCGGUUGAUCCUGCCGGAGGUUACUGCUAUCGAGGUUCGACUAAGCCAUGCGAGUCGAAUGUAGCAAUACAUGGCGAACUGCUCAGUAACACGUGGACAACCUGCCCUUAGGACGGGGAUAAACCCGGGAAACUGGGUAUAAUACCCGAUAGGUCUCGAUUGCUGGAAUGCAUCGAGAUUUAAAGCUCCGGCGCCUAAGGAUGGGUCUGCGGCCUAUCAGGUAGUAGUGGGUGUAGUGUACCUACUAGCCUACGACGGGUACGGGUUGUGAGAGCAAGAGCCCGGAGAUGGAUUCUGAGACACGAAUCCAGGCCCUACGGGGUGCAGCAGGCGCGAAAACUUUACAAUGCUGGCAACAGCGAUAAGGGAACCUCGAGUGCCAGGUUACAAAUCUGGCUGUCGAGAUGCCUAAAAAGCAUUUCAUAGCAAGGGCCGGGCGAGACCGGUGCCAGCCGCCGCGGUAACACCGGCGGCUCGAGUGGUAACCGUUAUUAUUGGGUCUAAAGGGUCUGUAGCCGGCCGGAUAAGUCUCUUGAGAAAUCUGGCAGCUUAACUGUCAGGCCUUCAGGAGAUACUGUCUGGCUCGAGGCCGGGAGAGGUGAGAGGUACUUCAGGGGUAGGGGUGAAAUCUUGUAAUCCUUGAAGGACCACCAGUGGCGAAGGCGUCUCACCAGAACGGACCUGACGGCAAGGGACGAAAGCUAGGGGCACGAACCGGAUUAGAUACCCGGGUAGUCCUAGCCGUAAACGAUACUCGCUAGGUGUCGGCCACGGUGCGACCGUUGUCGGUGCCGUAGGGAAGCCGUGAAGCGAGCCACCUGGGAAGUACGGCCGCAAGGCUGAAACUUAAAGGAAUUGGCUG
This 864-nucleotide ribosomal RNA is filed under the name uncultured bacterium. RNAcentral describes it as "bacterial SSU rRNA". It matches the Rfam family "Archaeal small subunit ribosomal RNA", at positions 1 to 871 of the family's 1478-position model. The record is from RNAcentral.